UACGUAGGGUGCAAGCGUUGUCCGGAAUUAUUGGGCGUAAAGAGCUCGUAGGCGGUCUGUCGCGUCGGCUGUGAAAUCCCGGAGCUCAACUCCGGGUCUGCAGUCGAUACGGGCAGACUUGAGUGUUGCAGGGGAGACUGGAAUUCCUGGUGUAGCGGUGAAAUGCGCAGAUAUCAGGAGGAACACCGGUGGCGAAGGCGGGUCUCUGGGCAACAACUGACGCUGAGGAGCGAAAGCGUGGGGAGCGAACAGG
This 253-nucleotide ribosomal RNA is filed under the name uncultured bacterium. RNAcentral's name for it is "partial 16S ribosomal RNA". It matches the Rfam family "Bacterial small subunit ribosomal RNA", at positions 524 to 776 of the family's 1533-position model. The record is from RNAcentral.